Molecule: ribosomal RNA, 471 nt
Filed under: Shigella sonnei
Lineage: Bacteria; Pseudomonadati; Pseudomonadota; Gammaproteobacteria; Enterobacterales; Enterobacteriaceae
Description: partial 23S ribosomal RNA
Rfam family: Bacterial large subunit ribosomal RNA
Source: RNAcentral
AACGGAUAAAAGGUACUCCGGGGAUAACAGGCUGAUACCGCCCAAGAGUUCAUAUCGACGGCGGUGUUUGGCACCUCGAUGUCGGCUCAUCACAUCCUGGGGCUGAAGUAGGUCCCAAGGGUAUGGCUGUUCGCCAUUUAAAGUGGUACGCGAGCUGGGUUUAGAACGUCGUGAGACAGUUCGGUCCCUAUCUGCCGUGGGCGCUGGAGAACUGAGGGGGGCUGCUCCUAGUACGAGAGGACCGGAGUGGACGCAUCACUGGUGUUCGGGUUGUCAUGCCAAUGGCACUGCCCGGUAGCUAAAUGCGGAAGAGAUAAGUGCUGAAAGCAUCUAAGCACGAAACUUGCCCCGAGAUGAGUUCUCCCUGACCCUUUAAGGGUCCUGAAGGAACGUUGAAGACGACGACGUUGAUAGGCCGGGUGUGUAAGCGCAGCGAUGCGUUGAGCUAACCGGUACUAAUGAACCGUGAGG